RNAcentral lists this long non-coding RNA (323 nucleotides) under Medicago truncatula (barrel medic). Its description in RNAcentral is "long non-coding RNA (MTRU_LNC000297)". The record is from RNAcentral. Lineage: Eukaryota; Viridiplantae; Streptophyta; Magnoliopsida; Fabales; Fabaceae.
GUAAAACACAAACAAUUGAUUCAAUCUCAAAUUCUUAUUAAUAUUAAGAUCACUAUACACAAAUUGAAACCAAUUCCUAAUAUAGACACACUGUAGUUAAAAGCACCAAAAGUAAAUAAUACAGUCAGAAGAAAGACAGAUGGGCCUGGCUCAUUAAAAGGAAAGCAAAAAGUAUAAAUGUACAUGAACUUAACAAGCUAAACUAACAAUAUGUUGGGAAGAUAUACUUAAUUAAAGUAAUGCCUCCAUCUACUUCCUUUCUGCAAUGAAGAACUCCAAAAUAUAUACUUAACCAAGAGCCAUUGUGCAUCUAUAAUACGCAC